Molecule: ribosomal RNA, 373 nt
Filed under: uncultured Rikenellaceae bacterium
Lineage: Bacteria; Pseudomonadati; Bacteroidota; Bacteroidia; Bacteroidales; Rikenellaceae
Description: bacterial SSU rRNA
Rfam family: Bacterial small subunit ribosomal RNA
Source: RNAcentral
UUACAGUCUCGUUCGGAGCAUUUUACGAGGUGCUGCAUGGUUGUCGUCAGCUCGUGCCGUGAGGUGUCGGGUUAAGUCCCAUAACGAGCGCCAACCCCUACUGCUAGUUGCCAGCGGGUCAUGCCGGGGACUCUAGCGGAACUGCCAGCGUAAGCUGCGAGGAAGGUGGGGAUGACGUCAAAUCAGCACGGCCCUUACGUCCAGGGCUACACACGUGUUACAAUGGCCAGUACAGAGGGCAGCCACCCGCGAGGGGCGCUAAUCCUAAAAGCUGGUCCCAGUUCGGAUCGGAGUCUGCAACCCGACUCCGUGAAGCUGGAUUCGCUAGUAAUCGCGCAUCAGCCACGGCGCGGUGAAUACGUUCCCGGGCCUU